CCUCCACACCUUGUCCAUAAACUGCCCCUCAGCUACCUUCAGACCCAGGAUACAGUUUCAGGCAGGAAGACUCAUCCUGAGCUGAGCUGCUUUUCUUGAAGUUGUGCAAGAACGUCCUGUUGGCUGGGGCAAAUUCAGUAUUUCUUUUCCUGGCCACUGUGCUGGAGCGUGAGGAAAGACUCUCCACCCUCACUCCCAGAUCCUGCAGGAGGCGUGAGAGCGGAUGGAGAUGGUGAGGAUGUCUAUUAAUAUGGUGUUUCCUGCAAAACGGUGCCCAUCUCAACCAUGGGUUGUCAACCAUCCUCGGUGUCUACAACUGCAAUUUACCUUUGAGGGCCCAUGAACUCUGAUUACCUGAAAGUCCUUAGGCCAGAAAGAGAAACCCCUGUCCCCCACCUCUCACUUUCACCUAUUUCUAGACCUUUUCUUACAGCAAUGCCUUGGCCCUCAGGAAGCAUCAGAUCUCAAACUGCAGGGUCUGGGGCUGAAGCUGAUGCUGGCAUGGGUGACUCAGAGUUCCUCUAUUAGUUCAAAUAUGUAAUAUCUUUUAGAGCCUAGGACUCAGGCUGGAGGCAAUUCCUUGGUGCCAGUUGGUUAAUACUUUAUGAAUAGUGGUGGGGGAGGGAAUGCCUUGGACUAUUAAUGUCCCCAUGGAUCUGGAUCCUGGAGAACUUCCAGUGUCCUGGAUGGAAUGUUCUGCUUGGCUCAUCUUGCCCAGAGAAGAGCCAGGAUAUGAGAAGAUGGGAGAGGGAAGGGGGAGGUGUGAAACGUGCUGGUGCUUCCUGUCCUCGUGGUGUGAUGGCUGCCCAGGCUGCUCCUUCGAGGCAGGACAGGAUUCCCAUGGGAGAUAUGAGGACCAUGGUGAUUUCCAGGCACCAGUUAUGUCCCAGAGCAUCGUGUGCCUGUGCAGUGGGGUUACUGAUAGUCCAGGCAUCAGUUCAUAUUGUCCUUUAUGGCAGAUCCUGCACAAGGGGGUUCUCUGUCUCUGGACCCACUCUGUCAGCAUGGACAUCCUUUUUCUUUUUCCCUGGUAAGGACAUCAGAAAGAAAGUUACCCCUCCAGUGUUUGGAGUCUUGGAAUCCUUGGCCUGCCUGCAGGCCUCUGAAUCCUCAGUGUGUUAGCCCAAGGUCACCUUAGGUAAAGGAACAUUUCUCCUGGUCUUCCAACACCCUGGAAAGGGAGGCUCUUCAAGAAUAGGAAAUUCUUCCUAGUAUCUAACCUUGGCCUGCAACUAUGCCAUACAUUUAAUUGUAGAAGGUAUGGAAAGUUAGGACUGUGGUGGACCCAGUUAAAUCACUGGACAGAAGCCAUGAGGCAGAGCCAGAACCAGCUUCUGGACUCCCUGCAUGGAGCUUUCUACUAUCCCAGGUUGUUGGGUCCCUUCUCAGUGGCCAAAGAUGCUAUUUUAUGAGCCUUGAGGACAUGACACUAAGUGAAAAAAGCCUGGCCAAAGGGCCACAUAGUGUAUAGUUCUAUUUAUAUGAAAUGUCCAGGAAAGACAAAAGCAUAGAGGCAGAAAGCAGACUAGUGCUGUGGGAGGAAUGGGGGAUUUGGGAGGUGAUGGCUAAGGGGUUAUGGGGUUUUGGGGGAGGUAAUAGAAAUGUUUUAAAAUUGGUUGUGAAGGUGGAUGCCCAACUCUGCGAAUACACUAAAAGGCAUCGAAUUGUAUACUUUAAAU
Long non-coding RNA from Homo sapiens (human), 1679 nucleotides. Ensembl annotates it as small nucleolar RNA host gene 28. Its record names the gene SNHG28. NCBI's taxonomy places the organism in Eukaryota, Metazoa, Chordata, Mammalia, Primates, Hominidae. The record is from Ensembl.